Drosophila melanogaster (fruit fly) is the source of this 651-nucleotide non-coding RNA. Lineage: Eukaryota; Metazoa; Arthropoda; Insecta; Diptera; Drosophilidae. The record is from Ensembl.
GCCAUAUCGAUUAGCAACACAAAUAACAAAAUGAUAAACAUAUCAAAAAACAUUUUUGAACAUGACAGGGGAAGGAGAAGACUUGGCUAGGAAUAGUUUACCCUACAGGUUCUUUCACCAUGAAACCGAUAAUAGCAACCAAUUCAUGAAAGCAGUAAAAACCAGAAAUAACUAAGGACGUCCAACAGAUUAAAGGCUAAUACAUAUGAAACCUGCCUAGCCAUAACAAGCCGCUUCAGAAUAGCCAGUGCGGAUUAUUAGGAACUAUUAAAUGUAACCUAAAUAUUUAUUAAGACACCUGGACAAAAGGGUCGACGGCAGCGGUAAACAAAAUUAAAGAAAGUCUAUGCGCAAAAUGAUGUGCAGCUUAGCCGCCUUAUUUAGCGAGGACCGCUGACUCAGACCCUCGAGCCCGGGUGCAUUCCCCGUCCCAUCAGCGGCUACGUUUUCUAUUCUUCAGGCUGCUGAUUUGGAGAAUAGCAUCCGGGGUUGCACCACCAUUGACACCAUGCUAACUCAUAUUUAUGUAUGUAUAUCAGGGUUGCAAUAGAAAACACGUUCACCCAAUUUAGCUGCCGUACCAAACCCCAAACUAGAGCAAAUAAAAAAACUGACUUUUCACCCAAUAUAUUUGUUAAUUUCACCCACAAU